CUCAUAUAAUCGAAAGCCAUCAACGACUAAAGUGGUCGAAAAGGAUGACAAGUAUCAACAAAUUUUAGAAAAACUACAUUGUCUAGAGACCACUGUUAAGCAGUCUAUGAAUGAUGUCACUCGAAGCUACACGUCGUACUCUGAAACCCAAUCGGAAGAAGUGAAUUAUUUGGGCAAUAGGGGUGGAAAUCCCUAUUUAAACACUUACAAUCCCAAUUGGAAAGACCACCCGAAUCUAAAGUAGGGAGGCAACCACGAUAGCGGAAACCCAACUCUAAACUGAUAAAAUCCUCCAUAUUAAACCCAGCUCAAAACCGAUAAAAUCCUUCAUAUCAACCCCUACAUAUGCAAAGGUCUCAAGAGAGAUCCAUGAGUAACGACCAUGUUUGUUGUGGUCAACGAUUGGACUGGAUUGGAAGUGAGAGGCAACUUAUGAGAUCCGAGGUGUUUGCUAUUCGAGAGUGAAAUGGAGCAAGUUAGAGAGGAGGUCGCAGCCAUGUAUCUUCCUUGGGUAUAGCAACAAUAGGAAGGGCUAUAAAAUUUAUGAUCCUUUGUCCAAGAAAAUUUUGGUGAGCAAGGAUGCUGUGUUCGAUGAAGGUAGAACAUGGAACUGGGACGCUAUUGAAGCUAAACAAAGAAUAUGCGAAUUGGGUUGGCAAAAUCAUGAUGAUGAUGGUGAGCUGGGAUCGUAGUUUGGCGAUAAGCUAACUAAAGCAGACUUCGAUGACACUCUAGUAAGAGGCACACGAUCCAUUAAUGAGAUCUAUCAACGAGCUGACGUACCAUUACUAGAACCUACAAGCUUUGUAGAGGUUCACCAUUCUGUUUCUUUUUAUUUUGUUUAAUAAAUUCUUCUUUUUUGUUUUC
Long non-coding RNA from Gossypium raimondii (Peruvian cotton), 867 nucleotides. RefSeq lists it as uncharacterized. Lineage: Eukaryota; Viridiplantae; Streptophyta; Magnoliopsida; Malvales; Malvaceae. The transcript is spliced from 2 exons. The record is from RefSeq and is a predicted model, not a curated record.